This 429-nucleotide ribosomal RNA is filed under the name Chloroflexota bacterium. RNAcentral describes it as "Chloroflexi bacterium partial 16S ribosomal RNA". It matches the Rfam family "Bacterial small subunit ribosomal RNA", at positions 355 to 776 of the family's 1533-position model. Lineage: Bacteria; Bacillati; Chloroflexota. The record is from RNAcentral.
UGGGGAAUAUUGCACAAUGGGCGCAAGCCUGAUGCAGCCAUGCCGCGUGUAUGAAGAAGGCCUUCGGGUUGUAAAGUACUUUCAGCGGGGAGGAAGGGAGUGCAGUUAAUACCUUUGCUCUUUGACGUUACCCGCAGAAGAAGCACCGGCUAACUCCGUGCCAGCAGCCGCGGUAAUACGGAGGGUGCCAGCGUUAAUCGGAAUUACUGGGCGUAAAGCGCACGCAGGCGGUUUGUUAAGUCAGAUGUGAAAUCCCCGGGCUCAACCUGGGAGCUGCAUCUGAAACUGGCAAGCUUGAGUCUCGCAGAGGGGGGUAGAAUUCCAGGUGUAGCGGUGAAAUGCGUAGAGAUCUGGAGGAAUACCGGUGGCGAAGGCGGCCCCCUGGACGAAGACUGACGCUCAGGUACGAAAGCGUGGGGAGCAAACAGG